Molecule: ribosomal RNA, 232 nt
Filed under: uncultured bacterium
Lineage: Bacteria
Description: partial 16S ribosomal RNA
Rfam family: Bacterial small subunit ribosomal RNA
Source: RNAcentral
GAUCAUGGCUCAAGAUGAACGCUAGCUACAGGCUUAACACAUGCGAGUCGAGGGGAAACGACAUCGAAAGCUUGCUUUUGAUGGGCGUCGACCGGCGCACGGGUGAGUAACGCGUAUCCAACCUGCCCAUCACUUGGGAAUAACCUUGCGAAAGUAAGACUAAUGCCCAAUGAUAUCCCACGAAGGCAUCCGAAUGGGAUUAAAGAUUUAUCGGUGAUGGAUGGGGAUGCGU